Long non-coding RNA from Ixodes scapularis (black-legged tick), 357 nucleotides. RefSeq lists it as uncharacterized. The transcript is spliced from 3 exons. NCBI's taxonomy places the organism in Eukaryota, Metazoa, Arthropoda, Arachnida, Ixodida, Ixodidae. The record is from RefSeq and is a predicted model, not a curated record.
GCCAGUGCCGUCAGUUCCGAGACGGUCCACCGCGCGUUGAACUCUGCUGGUGGAAGAGAGUUUGCGGUGCCAAUGUACGUGUGACCUCUGCGAUGAUGGAUUUAGCAAAGGGACCAGGAACGAUGACAGUUGGCGGGGUGUCUGGCGAGGGGCCACAAAGGGAUGAAGUUCGGAGUAAGGGCCGGAGGAAUCUUGCACUGAUGGCAGUGGUCCCCCUGGAGUGGCAGUGGGGGGCUCACCAUGUGCAGGAACCCUGGAGUCCGGCCGAGGUACCCCUGCGUACCCCUUGGCGAGUUCUUUGUUGGUAAACUUCAUCUUGGCGGGCAUCGACAAUUCUUGGACCGCCAAAGUCCUGAC